This 497-nucleotide ribosomal RNA is filed under the name uncultured bacterium. RNAcentral describes it as "partial 16S ribosomal RNA". It matches the Rfam family "Bacterial small subunit ribosomal RNA", at positions 28 to 507 of the family's 1533-position model. The record is from RNAcentral.
GAUGAACGCUGGCGGCGUGCCUAAUACAUGCAAGUCGAGCGAACGGACGAGAAGCUUGCUUCUCUGAUGUUAGCGGCGGACGGGUGAGUAACACGUGGAUAACCUACCUAUAAGACUGGGAUAACUUCGGGAAACCGGAGCUAAUACCGGAUGAUAUUUUGAACCGCAUGGUUCAAUAGUGAAAGACGGUCUUGCUGUCACUUAUAGAUGGAUCCGCGCUGCAUUAGCUAGUUGGUAAGGUAACGGCUUACCAAGGCAACGAUGCCUAGCCGACCUGAGAGGGUGAUCGGCCACACUGGAACUGAGACACGGUCCAGACUCCUACGGGAGGCAGCAGUAGGGAAUCUUCCGCAAUGGGCGAAAGCCUGACGGAGCAACGCCGCGUGAGUGAUGAAGGUCUUCGGAUCGUAAAACUCUGUUAUUAGGGAAGAACAAAUGUGUAAGUAACUGUGCACAUCUUGACGGUACCUAAUCAGAAAGCCACGGCUAACUACGUG